This 253-nucleotide ribosomal RNA is filed under the name uncultured bacterium. RNAcentral describes it as "partial 16S ribosomal RNA". It matches the Rfam family "Bacterial small subunit ribosomal RNA", at positions 524 to 776 of the family's 1533-position model. The record is from RNAcentral.
UACAGUGGUCUCAACCGUUGUUCGGAUUCAUUGGGCGUAAAGGGUGCGUAGGCGGCGGGGCAAGUCAGGUGUGAAAUCUCGGGGCUCAACCCCGAAACUGCACUUGAUACUGUCUUGCUCGAGUACUGGAGAGGAGACUGGAAUUUACGGUGUAGCAGUGAAAUGCGUAGAUAUCGUAAGGAAGACCAGUGGCGAAGGCGAGUCUCUGGACAGUUACUGACGCUGAGGCACGAAGGCCAGGGGAGCAAACGGG